This 1882-nucleotide long non-coding RNA is filed under the name Gigantopelta aegis. RNAcentral describes it as "uncharacterized LOC121390386". Lineage: Eukaryota; Metazoa; Mollusca; Gastropoda; Neomphalida; Peltospiridae. The record is from RNAcentral.
GUUCAAAUUAACAUUUGGUGUGGAUCACAUGAUCGUCCAUACUCCAGAUCAACAAUGCCAAAUAAUUUAAAUUGUAUGUUUUUUAUGCUCUAUAUUUUAUGUUUCAUUAAAAACUCUAACCUCAAUUUUCAGCCCCAACCCCUCUUCUAUUGGUUUGGCGGACGAAGUGCCGACUACCUCCAAAAGUAGUCGGCACGUGACUUUCUCGCUGUCAGCAACACCACUGCGCCCCACAACACCGAUACACAGUUGCUGGCAGCAGAGGCAGGCCAUCGAUGUGUUGCUCAUCUUGUGCUGUGUAUGUUAAAAGAUUUCACCAACAACCUUCAGCCAUGUGUGUAUAAAGCUAAUAUUUCACCGCUGUGUUUUUGAAAACUUUCCUGGAUGUAAAUCUAAUCCAUAAAUAUAUAUGGAAACCCGGAAUAUAAAUUAGAAACUUUGGACCCAAACAUCUAUUGAACAUGAACACUCGUUUCGCUUUUAGCGGUACAUUUUUCAAACAGAUUGUUAAAACAGUUAAGUAUAUGUCAAUAUGGCCAUGAACGAAUUAGUCGAUCAGCCAAUAUUCAUGUCAGUGGUCGUGGUAGAAAACAGAAGGAUGUAUCUCGAUGUCUCAGUAGAAUGGUGCAAAGCAAAUCAUUCAUAAAAUACAUGAAAGAAAAUGUGAAAAGCGAUAUGGGACAAGACAUUAAUAAAACAGAAAACGGACAAGAAAAAUAGUGCAAAGAUGAACAUCACAACAAAUAUCGUAUGCUUGAAAAAUCAAAAAAUUAAGAAUACAAAAAGAAACGAGAACAAAAGAAAGAAGUUGAAUGUCAAGGAUGAGAUGGCAAACUUAACUCAAACAGUGAGGAGACAAAGAAUAUGAAAUGUACAACAAAAAAUGAGAUGGAAACCCCGCAAAAACAAUACGAAAACAAAAAUGUGCCAUAUAAAAAAAAGCUUUACCAACAUGGUGAGAAUGAAAACAAUACGAACACAUGUAAAGUGAACAAAAACGUCAAGAAAGCAAGGAAGAUGAGACUAAAGAACAACAAAACAAUGGAAACAAAAAAUAUGAAAUGUACAGGAAGAAAUGAUGAGGAGAAAAACAAUACGAAAACAAACAAUGUUAAAAUUAACCAAAUGGAAAGACAAAACCAUCAUGGACACUAUAAAUAUGAUGACAAGGGAUAUCCAAAUGAUAGAAACGGAAUCAUGUGACAUGAAAAAAAGCGUUAAGAAAACAAGAAGGGCGAGAACGAAGAAUAACAAAACAAGCAUUUUGGAAACAGUACUAACAGGCCCAACAAGAAGUCAGUGACUUUUGGUCAGUGAUGAGGCAUCAGAUUCCCUGGUUUUUUAGGUGUAAAACAUUUAUAUUUUCUUUCUUUUCUUUUUGUUUUAUUUUGUUUGGGGUUUUUCCUCUUUUUUUUGUCAUGCAGUUGGGUAUGAAUAGAACACAUGCAUUCGAAAAUUUGCGGACGAAUUGGUAGUAACACUAUCUCGGGCGCGUGUGCAGAAGGGGAAAAGCCUAGUUUCGGGGCUUGACCUCCUGCUUCAAGCAAAUUUUUAUUUUUUAUUUUUUAAAAAUAUAUUUUCUGUGGGAACCUAUCUCGGGCGCGUGUGCAGAAGGGGAAGCCUAGUUUCGGGGCUUGACCUCCUGCUUCAAGCAAAUUUUUAUUUUUUAUUUUUUUUAAAAUAUAUUUUCUGUGGGAACCUAUCUCGGGCGCGUGUGCAGAAGGGGAAGCCUAGUUUCGGGGCUUGACCUCCUGCUUCAAGCAAAAAAAAAAUUUCUUUUUUUUAUAAUAUAUUUUCUGUGGGAACCUAUCUCGGGCGCGUGUGCAGAAGGGGAAGCCUAGUUUCGGGGCUUGACCUCCUGCUUCAAGCAAAUUUUUAUUUU